GGAGUGAGAGAAUGGUGUUGUGCUUAUCUGCUCAUUGGUGUUAAAUCAUCACAUCUCUGAAUAUGAGUAAGACACACUAUGAUAUAUAAGAUGCAGCACAUCAAAGACAAGAUAUGAUUACCACCACGGAAACAGAAGGCAUGCUCCAGCACACAAUAAGCAUCUGAAACCAGGAUUAUCUACGCUUGAUACUUGAAAACUACCACCUAAGAAAGUAUAGUACACCGUAUUUUUUUGUUCCAAGUAAUACUAUUCUUCUCUUUUUGUAUCCUUAUCUAAAUGCAAUCUUCU
Meleagris gallopavo (turkey) is the source of this 291-nucleotide non-coding RNA. The record is from RefSeq and is a predicted model, not a curated record. Lineage: Eukaryota; Metazoa; Chordata; Aves; Galliformes; Phasianidae.